Long non-coding RNA from Dreissena polymorpha, 1516 nucleotides. RefSeq lists it as uncharacterized. The record is from RefSeq and is a predicted model, not a curated record. NCBI's taxonomy places the organism in Eukaryota, Metazoa, Mollusca, Bivalvia, Myida, Dreissenidae. The transcript has 3 exons.
UGACUGUAUUGAAAUGACAUUUCUUUGGCUAUCAUAAUUUAGCAUUUAUUAUGUAGCAUUUUAUAGCUUCUGAGUUUGUAAUAUAUAUAUAGUCAGUAUAAUGUAACAUGUUCACUGAACUGACUUAUAUUUAUAGCGACUCUUUAAUAAUAAUAAUUAAUCCACUUUUUUGUAACAAAAUACAUUAAAUGCCAAACCUAAAGUAACAUCCUUCAAGGUCAACGGUAAACAAAUAAAUAUGUUCAAAGCGGCGCAGUAGGGAGCAUUGUUUCUAACAAACACAUCUCUUGUUCCAUACUAAAUUAACUUUGAAUUAACUGUUUUUGUUUUUUUUGUUACAGAUACAUCAAAUCUAGGCAUAAUUGCAACAUGUUAUUAUUAUUAAUAAGCAUAAGCGUAUGUGCCUAAGUGUUUUACAAAGUUAUAUGUUUGAAUUAAUUUUUGCGGUUUAUUUUUGCAGCUUCUUCAUAUGCGUUACAAAGCAGUGAGAGUGCCACAACAGCCAGCAGAGAAGAACAUAUGAGUGUACCAGUCAUGAAAGUAGAGGCAUGAAGUGGAAAGAAUCGCUCACAAAGAAGACCGACAAGAGAUCACAAGGAGAUACCUUAACAAAACUUACAGAGAAACCGAUGGAAAAAGACUAAGAAAAAAUAGAAUAAAAAAAAAAAAGUUGACUGUAGAAAUUGAAAUAAUACAUUUGGAGAAAAAGAUGUGUUUAGUGUCAAUACGUGACCAAGUGCUAUAACUCUGACAUGUUAUAUACUAGUAGUAGAUUUAUUCCCCUUUUUGUAAUUAAAAGGAUCUUAUUAUUUUUUUGUGCAACUACUUCAAAACUCUAUUAUUUCUGAAAUAGAAAGUCUAUAUUAGAAAUAAUAGAGUUAUGGAGCAGUUGCACACAAAAUAAUAAGUUUUUUUUUAAUCAAAAAGGGGCAUUCUCAUAUUUCUAUGAUAAAAAUAUGAUUAUGUCCCUUUUUGUACUUAUAAAAUUCCAGUCAAUAUUUGUGUGCUUGAAGAAAUGUAGGUCAAAUAUUACAUUGGUCAUUGUAUUAUGUUACUGACAGAUAAAAUACAUUCUACAUUCAAAGAGGAAUAUUAGUUGAAUGCGGUGUCUUGGGACACUUCUUGAUAUUAUUUGCUUACAAGAUAUACAUCAUUAAUAAUAAUAAAAUUCUUCAUUCAAUGAACUGAAUGAAAUUCCAGAAUAAUGAUAGAUACAGUUCUGUGAAUUUGAAAUUAGACAUCAACAAAUCCUGGCAUCAUACUUUCGCCCUGGCCAACUGGCAGUGAACUUGAGUGAAGCUCGUUAUUCAGUAGCUGGCGUCAUACACAGCCUGUUAACAUAAAACAUGUUAUAUUACACUAACAAAAUAAGACAUAUUUUUGUACAUUUUUUCUUAGGUAUUUGAUAAAAUGCUGAUGAUAUGUUUCUUAUAUUGCUAAUGGCAAACUGUUAAAAUUAACAUACAGUUGUUUCAUUAAAUAUUUGUGUUUAAAAUAAAGUAUCAAAGAAAAGCGA